UGGCGAACGGGUGAGUAACACGUGGGUGAUCUGCCUUGCACUUCGGGAUAAGCUUGGGAAACUGGGUCUAGUACCGGAUAGGACAGCUGUUUAGUGUCAGUUGUGGAAAGUUUUUUCGGUGCAAGAUGAGCUCGCGGCCUAUCAGCUUGUUGGUGGGGUAAUGGCCUACCAAGGCGUCGACGGGUAGCCGGCCUGAGAGGGUGUACGGCCACAUUGGGACUGAGAUACGGCCCAG
This 235-nucleotide ribosomal RNA is filed under the name uncultured Actinomycetales bacterium. Its description in RNAcentral is "partial 16S ribosomal RNA". It matches the Rfam family "Bacterial small subunit ribosomal RNA", at positions 96 to 334 of the family's 1533-position model. Lineage: Bacteria; Bacillati; Actinomycetota; Actinomycetes; Actinomycetales. The record is from RNAcentral.